This 271-nucleotide ribosomal RNA is filed under the name uncultured prokaryote. RNAcentral describes it as "partial 16S ribosomal RNA". It matches the Rfam family "Bacterial small subunit ribosomal RNA", at positions 524 to 794 of the family's 1533-position model. The record is from RNAcentral.
UACGGAGGAUCCGAGCGUUAUCCAGAUUUAUUGGGUUUAAAGGGUGCGCAGGCGGGAGAUUAAGUCGGCGGUGAAAUUUUGCAGCUCAACUGUAAAAGUGCCUUCGAAACUGGUUUCCUUGAGUGUAGAUGAAGUAGGCGGAAUUUGUGGUGUAGCGGUGAAAUGCAUAGAUAUCACGAGGAACUCCGAUUGCGCAGGCAGCUUACUAAACUACUACUGACGCUCAGGCACGAAGGCGUGGGGAUCAAACAGGAUUAGAUACCCGGGUAGU